RNAcentral lists this non-coding RNA (177 nucleotides) under Rhodobium orientis. Its description in RNAcentral is "Ruegeria cis52 sRNA". It matches the Rfam family "Ruegeria cis52 sRNA". Rfam says of the family: Cis-encoded. Targets oligo/dipeptide ABC transporter. Lineage: Bacteria; Pseudomonadati; Pseudomonadota; Alphaproteobacteria; Hyphomicrobiales; Rhodobiaceae. The record is from Rfam by way of RNAcentral.
UCCUCAAGGCAUGGCGCAGGACAAUGACGGGGAAGGAAAGGCCCUUGAGGCGGGCCGUGCGGAUAUAUUGCGAGGUCAUGACCUCGGCCAUGGAGGCGCGGGUCAUGCGGGCGAUGUAGCCCAUUCCGUAGAGGGCCAUGGUCAUCACCGGCAGGGUGAAGUUCCAGAAAUCGAUGU